GACGAACGCUGGCGGCGUGCUUAACACAUGCAAGUCGAGCGGAAAGGCCACUUCGGUGGUACUCGAGCGGCGAACGGGUGAGUAACACGUGAGUAAUCUGCCCCUGGCUUUGGGAUAGCCACCGGAAACGGUGAUUAAUACCGGAUAUGACCACUUCACGCAUGUGAUGGUGGUGGAAAGUUUUUCGGCCAGGGAUGUGCUCGCGGCCUAUCAGCUUGAUGGUGAGGUAAUGGCUCACCAUGGCUUCGACGGGUAGCCGGCCUGAGAGGGUGACCGGUCACACUGGGACUGAGACACGGCCCAGACUCCUACGGGAGGCAGCAGUGGGGAAUAUUGGACAAUGGGCGGAAGCCUGAUCCAGCAACGCCGCGUGAGGGAUGACGGCCUUCGGGUUGUAAACCUCUUUCGGUGGGGACGAAGCGCAAGUGACGGUACCCACUAAAGAAGCACCGGCCAACUACG
RNAcentral lists this ribosomal RNA (462 nucleotides) under uncultured Nocardioides sp. RNAcentral's name for it is "bacterial SSU rRNA". It matches the Rfam family "Bacterial small subunit ribosomal RNA", at positions 28 to 505 of the family's 1533-position model. Lineage: Bacteria; Bacillati; Actinomycetota; Actinomycetes; Propionibacteriales; Nocardioidaceae. The record is from RNAcentral.